GUAAACCAGUUUUCGUUGGUGAACGGAUUAUUAUUUGAGUUGUGUAUACAGUAUACUAUACUUGUUCAAAAUGCAUUCCGAUAUGUCAUGUGUUUCUUUUCUGGUUAUUGAUAGCUUCUAUAAAGCAUCUAAUUGAACGGGUAAAUAUACUUUAAUUAAUUUAUCAUACUGCAAAUGAUUUUUCUUCAAAUACUAUGAAUGAUCAUCUUUACUCUUCAGUCUCCACAUAAUACAAAUAAAAAACCAUUCUAUGAAUUUGACAACACAAGUUCGUUUGGUUUGUUUUUUUUUUGGUAAAAUAUUAAGCUUACCAUUUUCUGAAGAAAUUACAAAGUUGUUGUUAAACAAUUUAUUACAGAGAUAAAGAAACAGACAACAAUCCAACUUAAGAGCAUGUUCAACGCAGGCACGGAACUAUAGGUUUUUUUUUUUUUUCCGUCUGCUAAAACAAAAAUUAAAAGAAGAGCCAAUCGCGGACCACCACGUGUCAGUGGGACCCGCGAUCAGUGGAAAAAACAAAGAAAGAUCGAUCUUUAUUCUCUUACUUUUGUGAUCGGUUUUAAAAGUUUUUGUGGGGCCUAUGCAUUUAGAAACCCACUUAUUACCGGCGAUAAUUAUGGUCUAAACAACUUCCUUUGGUUUGUUUAUUGUAACUUUAUUACGUUACAAUCAUGAAUUCGUGAUAGUUAUUGCAACACUAUAGGGUAUCAUUUACUUACAUCAUAACUUCUAUUCUCCAAUAUUUAGAACAUGUUUUCUCACACAAAAAAAUUAGAACAUGCCUAUGGAUAUAUCUAAUAGAUUAUUUAUUAGAACAUAUAUCCACAACUAUAAGUUUUAUCACUACUUAGAGUUUUUAUUUGGGUUACCC
RNAcentral lists this long non-coding RNA (871 nucleotides) under Brassica napus (rape). RNAcentral's name for it is "long non-coding RNA (BNAP_LNC016651)". Lineage: Eukaryota; Viridiplantae; Streptophyta; Magnoliopsida; Brassicales; Brassicaceae. The record is from RNAcentral.